This 1534-nucleotide ribosomal RNA is filed under the name Bacteroides sp. OM08-17BH. Its description in RNAcentral is "bacterial SSU rRNA". It matches the Rfam family "Bacterial small subunit ribosomal RNA". Lineage: Bacteria; Pseudomonadati; Bacteroidota; Bacteroidia; Bacteroidales; Bacteroidaceae. The record is from RNAcentral.
CUUUUACAAUGAAGAGUUUGAUCCUGGCUCAGGAUGAACGCUAGCUACAGGCUUAACACAUGCAAGUCGAGGGGCAGCAUGAUUGAAGCUUGCUUCAAUCGAUGGCGACCGGCGCACGGGUGAGUAACACGUAUCCAACCUGCCGAUAACUCGGGGAUAGCCUUUCGAAAGAAAGAUUAAUACCCGAUAGCAUAGUUUCCCCGCAUGGGGUUACUAUUAAAGGAUUCCGGUUAUCGAUGGGGAUGCGUUCCAUUAGGCAGUUGGCGGGGUAACGGCCCACCAAACCCACGAUGGAUAGGGGUUCUGAGAGGAAGGUCCCCCACAUUGGAACUGAGACACGGUCCAAACUCCUACGGGAGGCAGCAGUGAGGAAUAUUGGUCAAUGGACGAGAGUCUGAACCAGCCAAGUAGCGUGAAGGAUGACUGCCCUAUGGGUUGUAAACUUCUUUUAUACGGGAAUAAAGUUUGCCACGUGUGGCUUUUUGCAUGUACCGUAUGAAUAAGGAUCGGCUAACUCCGUGCCAGCAGCCGCGGUAAUACGGAGGAUCCGAGCGUUAUCCGGAUUUAUUGGGUUUAAAGGGAGCGUAGGCGGGGUAUUAAGUCAGUUGUGAAAGUUUGCGGCUCAACCGUAAAAUUGCAGUUGAUACUGGUAUCCUUGAGUGCAGCAUAGGUGGGCGGAAUUCGUGGUGUAGCGGUGAAAUGCUUAGAUAUCACGAAGAACUCCGAUUGCGAAGGCAGCUCACUGGAGUGUAACUGACGCUGAUGCUCGAAAGUGUGGGUAUCAAACAGGAUUAGAUACCCUGGUAGUCCACACAGUAAACGAUGAAUACUCGCUGUUGGCGAUACAAUGUCAGCGGCCAAGCGAAAGCAUUAAGUAUUCCACCUGGGGAGUACGCCGGCAACGGUGAAACUCAAAGGAAUUGACGGGGGCCCGCACAAGCGGAGGAACAUGUGGUUUAAUUCGAUGAUACGCGAGGAACCUUACCCGGGCUUGAAUUGCAGCGGAAUGUGGUGGAAACAUCCCAGCCUUCGGGCCGCUGUGAAGGUGCUGCAUGGUUGUCGUCAGCUCGUGCCGUGAGGUGUCGGCUUAAGUGCCAUAACGAGCGCAACCCUUAUCUAUAGUUACCAUCAGGUGAUGCUGGGGACUCUAUUGAGACUGCCGUCGUAAGAUGUGAGGAAGGUGGGGAUGACGUCAAAUCAGCACGGCCCUUACGUCCGGGGCUACACACGUGUUACAAUGGGGGGUACAGAAGGCAGCUACACAGCGAUGUGAUGCUAAUCCCAAAAACCUCUCUCAGUUCGGAUUGGAGUCUGCAACCCGACUCCAUGAAGCUGGAUUCGCUAGUAAUCGCGCAUCAGCCACGGCGCGGUGAAUACGUUCCCGGGCCUUGUACACACCGCCCGUCAAGCCAUGAAAGCCGGGGGUACCUGAAGUACGUAACCGCAAGGAGCGUCCUAGGGUAAAACUGGUGAUUGGGGCUAAGUCGUAACAAGGUAGCCGUACCGGAAGGUGCGGCUGGAACACCUCCUUUCU